Molecule: ribosomal RNA, 116 nt
Organism: Mus spicilegus (steppe mouse)
Lineage: Eukaryota; Metazoa; Chordata; Mammalia; Rodentia; Muridae
Source: Ensembl
GUCUAUGGCCAUACUACUCGAGGGUACCAGAUCUCAUUUGAUCUCUGAAGCUAAGCAGAGUCAGGCCUGGUUAGAACUCGGAUGGGAGACCAAAGUAAUCCAAACCUCAAAUGAAG